GACGGAGGGUGCUAGCGUUGUUCGGAAUUACUGGGCGUAAAGGGCUCGUAGGUUGCCAACUAAGUCAGACGUGAAAUCCCUCGGCUUAACCGGGGAACUGCGUCUGAUACUGGAUGGCUUGAGUUCGGGAGAGGGAUGCGGAAUUCCAGGUGUAGCGGUGAAAUGCGUAGAUAUCUGGAGGAACACCGGUGGCGAAGGCGGCAUCCUGGACCAAUACUGACGCUGAGGCGCGAAAGCUAGGGGAGCAAACGGG
This 253-nucleotide ribosomal RNA is filed under the name uncultured bacterium. RNAcentral's name for it is "partial 16S ribosomal RNA". It matches the Rfam family "Bacterial small subunit ribosomal RNA", at positions 524 to 776 of the family's 1533-position model. The record is from RNAcentral.